Triticum aestivum (bread wheat) is the source of this 1375-nucleotide long non-coding RNA. RefSeq lists it as uncharacterized. The record is from RefSeq and is a predicted model, not a curated record. NCBI's taxonomy places the organism in Eukaryota, Viridiplantae, Streptophyta, Magnoliopsida, Poales, Poaceae. The transcript is spliced from 2 exons.
UUGAAAAUCAUUCAUCGUUAUAUGAAAAAAGCAAUAAACUUUUGUUCAUGUUUUGAAUAAAUGUUCACGUUUUCCAGAAAGAAAACACUUUAACAGUUGUUCGAGUUUCAAAAUUUGUUCAGGAAAACAUUAUACAUUCUUUUGAAUGAAGAUUAAAAACCAGAUCUGCCUCCGUACAUAGUACUUCAAGUUUACGUUGUACUUACAUCCAAUCCGAGUCGCUAGGUGCAGUGGCUGACGAUGCAGCCGUACAGCUAAGGUCACCGGUUCGAAUCCAACCAGGCUAUAAUUUUUCGUUUGUAUCGUAUUUUCUUAUGUUCACUCGUGGCCUCGUAAUGGGCCGGCCCGUUUGCGCGAGCCCUGCGCGGAAGCUCUCCUGUUUGACGCUAACGAGCGUCAAACAGGAGCUCCCGUUUUUCCUUAUAGUGGCACUGUCUCGCUUUAGCAGGCCUAUUUCAUGGUCGCGUUUGAAUGUCCAGUUGUCCACCCUCCUCCUUCCUCCACCACCGCCUUCUCUACCUUCACCUCCUCCUACAACCUGUGCUACAGCAGCAAGGUCCUACCGCCCCCCAGCCAUCACCGGCCACACUCUUCUCCGAUCUGAACCUGCCGCGCUCCGUGGAGGACCAGAAUCACCAUGACCCCCACCGGUGCUAGAUCCAGCUGCCUCCACCCUCAUCCUCCUGAUUUGAGAUCCGUGGAGGGGUUGAGAUCCUGGCUGCCACCCACCACUCCCUCUCAAAUCUCUAUAGGACGGUGGCAAGCCCGCUGGUCUACGGGGAGGGUCGGCCUUGACUUGCCUACGGGGAGGGUCGGCCUUGACUUGCAGUAGGAGGAGGAGCUCCCAGGCCGCCUUCACCCCCCUUGCCCCAUCGCCGCCACCACCAGGAGGCCGACCACCAUGGAGUUCUGUGUAAAUUUGGUUGAAAUUUACGUAGUUUGAGCUUCUGUAUUCCUCUGAUUUUUCUUAUGUUCGAAGAAGCGGCCAAGGCUGGACCCGGUGAUGGGGCGACCUGCCAGCGGUGGUAGUAGGGGCAGGCCGCGAGCGAGACCUGUGCCACGUCCGGGGCGCGGUGAGAAGCUCCGCCGGAAGACUCGACAGAUGGGGGUACCUGCUGAAAAGGAAAUACAUUCUCGAAAAAGUACAUAUGCCUCGAGGUAUACACGCGAUGGGAUAUAGGGUCAUAGCAUAGACAACCUCUGAUUGUCAAAAAAUAAAUAGACAACCUCUGAUGUUGGAAGGGUAGCCCAGAAAAAUGCAAGCGAGCGAACGGUGUGUGAGCUUGUGUGGUGUGCUCGAUAUAGUUGAUGUUUCCUCCCUUGGAUUAUUUGAUUGCUCAGACCGGACCGAGGACGACAAGCAAUCGGUUGUUUU